AUGCAAUUGACCACUUGGCUGUCUAUUGGUUCAACUUGUCACAGGCCCUCCCAGUCAACACCACCUCAUAAGAUGAGGAAGUACAUUGUUUAUGAGGAUUGCCUGCUGCAGUUGUUCGAAAGAUGUCCAGUUUGCAGCCGAACAUGCAACAUAGAGAAGACCAACGCAGGGACCCUCAGCAUUACACAGACAUGGCCUCGCUGUGAGCAUUCCUAUACAUUAAACGGGGAGGACACUUGAAUCAGUUUCUUUGAUGAGUGGCCAGGAGCCGAUCUAUGCUGCCAUGCCCAUCAAUGGGGCCCUGGCAAAGACCUUACCUCCUGCUUCACCUCUUGCCUGCUCACCAACGUCGUCGAUGGGGAGACCAGAAUUAGAUGCAUCUAUGGAGCCGGCAAUUGGGAGACUUGCAAGAUGAUGUGAUGGAGUCCUGACCGGCAGACAGGCUUGAUUCUGACGUCUCUGAAUGGAGAGAGACCUGGCACUUAACACAUCCACAAUGUGGGACUGAAGGUGAUUACUAAUAAUACAGUACAGCAAAUGUCUAGUAUUUGCAACACCCUUUUCAUUAUUUUAAUUCCAUUGGAAACACCAGUUAGUCCUCUCACUCAAACCCUUGUCAUUUUUGUUGUCUUAUGUUUCACCUACCACACAUUUUCCAGGAAUAUUCUUAUAAUGUUCCUGAAUGUAUCCAGAGUAUUUUCAGAUUUCGUUGCUGCGAAAAGUACAGUAAAUGUAAAAUUCACAAAAUCAAGCGGAAUGUUUGGAUUCAUUCUUGUGUCAGGUGAGCUGUUGUGUCCUCACCUUUGGUCUAAUCAUUUUCCCAUAAUCUCGAAACUGGUCCCUUUCAAUUGCUUCCAUGCUUAUGCUUUUCAUAUUUCUUCCUUCUAUGCCAAUUCCCAUGAGUGUAAAGGGUUAAGGAAAAUGUUUUUAUUUGUAUGUUUAGCUCACAUAAUACA
Salvelinus namaycush (lake trout) is the source of this 956-nucleotide long non-coding RNA. RefSeq lists it as uncharacterized. The record is from RefSeq and is a predicted model, not a curated record. The transcript is spliced from 3 exons. Lineage: Eukaryota; Metazoa; Chordata; Actinopteri; Salmoniformes; Salmonidae.